This 253-nucleotide ribosomal RNA is filed under the name uncultured bacterium. RNAcentral describes it as "partial 16S ribosomal RNA". It matches the Rfam family "Bacterial small subunit ribosomal RNA", at positions 524 to 776 of the family's 1533-position model. The record is from RNAcentral.
UACGUAGGGUGCGAGCGUUAAUCGGAAUUACUGGGCGUAAAGCGUGCGCAGGCGGUGGCUCAAGUCAGAUGUGAAAUCCCUAGGCUUAACCUGGGAAUUGCAUUUGAAACUAGGUCGCUAGAGUUUGGCAGAGGGGGGUGGAAUUCCACGUGUAGCAGUGAAAUGCGUAGAGAUGUGGAGGAACACCGAUGGCGAAGGCAGCCCCCUGGGCUAAAACUGACGCUCAUGCACGAAAGCGUGGGGAGCAAACAGG